This 492-nucleotide ribosomal RNA is filed under the name uncultured bacterium. Its description in RNAcentral is "partial 16S ribosomal RNA". It matches the Rfam family "Bacterial small subunit ribosomal RNA", at positions 29 to 507 of the family's 1533-position model. The record is from RNAcentral.
AGUGAACGCUGGCGGUAGGCCUAACACAUGCAAGUCGAACGGCAGCACAAUAAGAGUUUGCUUUUACGGGUGGCGAGUGGCGGACGGGUGAGAAAUACGUCGGAAUCUACUUUUUCGGGGGGGAUUACGUGGGGAAACUUCCGCUAAUACCUCAUACUACCUACGGCUGAAAGCAGUGGAGCUUGGGACCUUGCGCGAUUGAAUGAGCCGAUGCCGGAUUAGCUAGUUGGGGGGGUAAAGGCCCACCAAGGCGACGAUCCGUAGCUGAUCUGAGAGGAUGAUCAGCCACACUGGAACUGAGACACGGUCCAGACUCCUACGGGAGGCAGCAGUGGGGAAUAUUGGACAAUGGGCGCAAGCCUGAUCCAGCCACGCCGCGUGGGUGAAGAAGGCCUUCGGGUUGUAAAGCUCUUUUGUUGGGGAAGAAAAGCAGCAGGUUAAUCCCUCGCCGUUCUGACGGUACCCAAAGAAUAAGCACCGGCUAACUUCGUG